GGUUCAGGGUCUCGGUGCCGCACUUCCGUCAGAAUCACCCUGCUAAGGUGGAGUCCCCUCACGGGGACCAGGGGUUCAAAUCCCCUCGUCU
RNAcentral lists this transfer RNA (91 nucleotides) under Microbacterium sp. JAI119. Its description in RNAcentral is "tRNA-Ser". Lineage: Bacteria; Bacillati; Actinomycetota; Actinomycetes; Micrococcales; Microbacteriaceae. The record is from RNAcentral.